This 542-nucleotide ribosomal RNA is filed under the name Microhyla sp. n NAP-2020. RNAcentral's name for it is "partial large subunit ribosomal RNA". It matches the Rfam family "Bacterial large subunit ribosomal RNA", at positions 1801 to 2574 of the family's 2925-position model. Lineage: Eukaryota; Metazoa; Chordata; Amphibia; Anura; Microhylidae. The record is from RNAcentral.
UGUUUACCAAAAACAUCGCCUCCUGCAUUUUAUAAGAGGUCCAGCCUGCCCAGUGACAAAGUUAAACGGCCGCGCUACCCUAACCGUGCAAAGGUAGCGCAAUCAUUUGUUCUUUAAAUGAGGACUAGUAUGAACGGCAUCACGAAGGUUAUACUGUCUCCCCACUCUAUUCAGUGAAACUGAUCUCCCCGUGAAGAAGCGGGAAUAAAAAUAUAAGACGAGAAGACCCCAUGGAGCUUUAAACUCAGUAACAACUGCUAUUUUUAAGCCUAGUAUUUACACAGCCAUGAUUACUAGUUUUUGGUUGGGGUGACCGCGGAGUAGAACUUAACCUCCAUGAUGAAAGGAAGUAUUAACCUAAACCAAGAGCGACAGCUCAAAGUAUUAAUAAAUUAACUAAUUGACCCAAUUACUUGAUCAACGAACUAAGUUACCCUGGGGAUAUCAGCGCAAUCCAUUUCAAGAGCUCAUAUCGACAAAUGGGAUUCAGACCUCGAUGUUGGAUCAGGGUAUCCCAGUGGCGCAGCAGCUACUAACGGUUC